GAUGAACGCUGGCGGCGUGCCUAAUACAUGCAAGUCGAGCGAACAGAUGAGGAGCUUGCUCCUCUGACGUUAGCGGCGGACGGGUGAGUAACACGUGGAUAACCUACCUAUAAGACUGGGAUAACUACGGGAAACCGGAGCUAAUACCGGAUAAUAUAUUGAACCGCAUGGUUCAAUAGUGAAAGACGGUUUUGCUGUCACUUAUAGAUGGAUCCGCGCCGCAUUAGCUAGUUGGUAAGGUAACGGCUUACCAAGGCAACGAUGCGUAGCCGACCUGAGAGGGUGAUCGGCCACACUGGAACUGAGACACGGUCCAGACUCCUACGGGAGGCAGCAGUAGGGAAUCUUCCGCAAUGGGCGAAAGCCUGACGGAGCAACGCCGCGUGAGUGAUGAAGGUCUUCGGAUCGUAAAACUCUGUUAUUAGGGAAGAACAAAUGUGUAAGUAACUAUGCACGUCUUGACGGUACCUAACCAGAAAGCCACGGCUAACUACGUG
This 497-nucleotide ribosomal RNA is filed under the name uncultured bacterium. Its description in RNAcentral is "partial 16S ribosomal RNA". It matches the Rfam family "Bacterial small subunit ribosomal RNA", at positions 28 to 507 of the family's 1533-position model. The record is from RNAcentral.